RNAcentral lists this ribosomal RNA (497 nucleotides) under uncultured bacterium. RNAcentral's name for it is "partial 16S ribosomal RNA". It matches the Rfam family "Bacterial small subunit ribosomal RNA", at positions 28 to 507 of the family's 1533-position model. The record is from RNAcentral.
GAUGAACGCUGGCGGCGUGCCUAAUACAUGCAAGUCGAGCGAACGGACGAGAAGCUUGCUUCUCUGAUGUUAGCGGCGGACGGGUGAGUAACACGUGGAUAACCUACCUAUAAGACUGGGAUAACUUCGGGAAACCGGAGCUAAUACCGGAUAAUAUUUUGAACCGAAUGGUUCAAAAGUGAAAGACGGUCUUGCUGUCACUUAUAGAUGGAUCCGCGCUGCAUUAGCUAGUUGGUAAGGUAACGGCUUACCAAGGCAACGAUGCAUAGCCGACCUGAGAGGGGGAUAGGCCACACUGGAAGUGAGACACGGGCCAGACUCCUACGGGAGGCAGCAGUAGGGAAUCUUCCGCAGUGGGCGAAAGCCUGACGGAGCAACGCCGCGUGAGUGAUGAAGGUCUUCGGAUCGUAAAACUCUGUUAUUAGGGAAGAACAUAUGUGUAAGUAACUGUGCACAUCUUGACGGUACCUAAUCAGAAAGCCACGGCUAACUACGUG